GGAGGGUUGCCCGAGCGGCCAAAGGGAGCAGACUGUAAAUCUGCCGGCACUGCCUACGUUGGUUCAAAUCCAACACCCUCCA
Molecule: transfer RNA, 82 nt
Filed under: Myxococcales bacterium
Lineage: Bacteria; Pseudomonadati; Myxococcota; Myxococcia; Myxococcales
Also listed under: 1 other name
Description: tRNA-Tyr
Rfam family: tRNA
About the family: Transfer RNA (tRNA) molecules are approximately 80 nucleotides in length. Their secondary structure includes four short double-helical elements and three loops (D, anti-codon, and T loops).
Source: RNAcentral